AGAAUCAACGCUGGCGGCGUGCCUAACACAUGCAAGUCGAACGAGAAAGGGUAGCAAUACCUGAGUAAAGUGGCGCACGGGUGAGUAACACGUGACUAACCUACCUUUUAGUGGGGGAUAACCUAGGGAAACCUGGGCUAAUACCGCAUAAUACCUACGGGUCAAAGCAGCAAUGCGCUGAAAGAGGGGGUCGCGGUCGAUUAGUUAGUUGGCAGGGUAAUGGCCUACCAAGACUGUGAUCGAUAUCCGGCCUGAGAGGGCGCACGGACACACUGGAACUGAAACACGGUCCAGACUCCUACGGGAGGCAGCAGUGGGGAAUUUGCGCAAUGGGGGAAACCCUGACGCAGCAACGCCGCGUGGAGGAUGAAGCCCCUUGGGGCGUAAACUCCUUUCGAUCGGGAAGAUAAUGACGGUACCGGAAGAAGAAGCCCCGGCUAACUUCGUGCCAGCAGCCGC
Molecule: ribosomal RNA, 459 nt
Filed under: uncultured bacterium
Lineage: Bacteria
Description: SSU rRNA
Rfam family: Bacterial small subunit ribosomal RNA
Source: RNAcentral